RNAcentral lists this ribosomal RNA (696 nucleotides) under uncultured Hymenobacter sp. RNAcentral's name for it is "bacterial SSU rRNA". It matches the Rfam family "Bacterial small subunit ribosomal RNA", at positions 796 to 1502 of the family's 1533-position model. Lineage: Bacteria; Pseudomonadati; Bacteroidota; Cytophagia; Cytophagales; Hymenobacteraceae. The record is from RNAcentral.
GGAGCCGUUACCAAUGGGAUCUCGCUGGUGGCGAUAGAUGGUCACUGGCUUAGCGAAAGCGUUAAGUAUCCCACCUGGGGAGUACGCUCGCAAGAGUGAAACUCAAAAGAAUUGACGGGGGCCCGCACAAGUGGUGGAGCAUGUGGUUUAAUUCGAUGAUACGCGAGGAACCUUACCUAGGCUAGAAUGCGCGUGACCGGCUCAGAGAUGAGCCUUUCCUUCGGGACACAAAGCAAGGUGCUGCAUGGCCGUCGUCAGCUCGUGCCGUGAGGUGUUGGGUUAAGUCCCGCAACGAGCGCAACCCCUAUGUUUAGUUGCCAGCAUGUAAUGAUGGGGACUCUAGACAGACUGCCUGCGCAAGCAGUGAGGAAGGCGGGGACGACGUCAGGUCAUCAUGGCCCUUACGCCUAGGGCUACACACGUGCUACAAUGGACGGUACAGCGGGUUGCCAACCAGCGAUGGUGCGCCAAUCCCGAAAAGCCGUUCUCAGUUCGGAUCGGAGUCUGCAACUCGACUCCGUGAAGCUGGAAUCACUAGUAAUCGCGUAUCAGCAAUGACGCGGUGAAUACGUUCCCGGGCCUUGUACACACCGCCCGUCAAGCCAUGGAAGUUUGGUAGACCUGAAGCUGGUGCUCCGCAACGAAGCCAGUUAGGGUAGAACAGGUAACUAGGGCUAAGUCGUAAAAGGGUAACCA